RNAcentral lists this ribosomal RNA (711 nucleotides) under uncultured phototrophic eukaryote. Its description in RNAcentral is "bacterial SSU rRNA". It matches the Rfam family "Bacterial small subunit ribosomal RNA", at positions 24 to 777 of the family's 1533-position model. The record is from RNAcentral.
CUAUGAUAACGCUGGUCGGUAUGCUCCACACAUGCAAGUCGGACGAAAGUUUAUACUUUAGCUGGCGGACGGGUGAGUAAUACGUAGAAUCUACCUUUAGAGAAGGGAAUAACAAUUGGAAACGAGUGCUAAUGCCCUAUAUGCUUAGCAGUGAAACAGAUGAUCUGCCUGAAGAUGAGCUCGCGCCUGAUUAGCUAGUUGGUAGAGUAAAAGCCUACCAAGGCAACGAUCAGUAGCUGGUUUGAGAGGACGAUCAGCCACACUGGGACUGAGACACGGACCAGACUUCAUACGGAAGGCAGCAGUGGGGAAUUUUCCGCAAUGAGCGAAAGCUUGACGGAGCAAUACCGUGUGAGGGAAGAAUGCCUGUGGGUUGUAAACCUCUUUUUACAGGGAAGAAAAUAUGACGGUACCUAAAGAAUAAGCAUCGGCUAACUCCGUGCCAGCAGCCGCAGUAAUACGGGGGAUGCAAGCGUUAUCCGGAAUUACUGGGGCGUAAAGCGUCUGCAAGUGGCUUAAAAAGUCUGCUUGUUACAUUUAGAGCUCAACUCUGAAUAAGCAGUGGAAACUGUAAGGCUAGAGUAUGGUAUGGGUAAAGGGAACUCCCAAUGUUGCAGGAGAACUGCGUAGCUAUUGGGAAGAAAACCAGUUGCAAAAGCGCAUUACUAGAACAAUACUGAAAUCAGAGACAAAGCUCGGGAGCAAUGCCGC